AACUUUCGGAAAUGGAUCUCUUGGUUCUGGCAUCGAUGAAGAACGCAGCGAAAUGCGAUAAGUAAUGUGAAUUGCAGAAUUCAGUGAAUCAUCGAAUCUUUGAACGCACAUUGCGCCCUUUGGUAUUCCGAAGGGCAUGCCUGUUCGAGCGUCAUUAUAACCACUCAAGCUCUCGCUUGGUAUUGGGGUGCGCGGUUCCGCGGCCUCUAAAGUCAGUGGCGGUGCCUGUCGGCUCUACGCGUAGUAAUACUCCUCGCGUCUGGGUCCGGUAGGUUGCUUGCCAACAACCCCCAAAUUUUUACAGGUUGACCUCGGAUCAGGUAGGGAUACCCGCUGAACUUAAGCAUAUCAAUAAGCGGAGGCU
Molecule: unclassified non-coding RNA, 364 nt
Filed under: uncultured Cadophora
Lineage: Eukaryota; Fungi; Ascomycota; Leotiomycetes; Helotiales
Description: sequence contains ITS2
Rfam family: 5.8S ribosomal RNA (bases 1-154)
Source: RNAcentral